Molecule: ribosomal RNA, 751 nt
Filed under: uncultured Pseudomonas sp.
Lineage: Bacteria; Pseudomonadati; Pseudomonadota; Gammaproteobacteria; Pseudomonadales; Pseudomonadaceae
Description: bacterial SSU rRNA
Rfam family: Bacterial small subunit ribosomal RNA
Source: RNAcentral
AUUGAACGCUGGCGGCAGGCCUAACACAUGCAAGUCGAGCGGUAGAGAGAAGCUUGCUUCUCUUGAGAGCGGCGGACGGGUGAGUAAUGCCUAGGAAUCUGCCUGGUAGUGGGGGAUAACGUUCGGAAACGGACGCUAAUACCGCAUACGUCCUACGGGAGAAAGCAGGGGACCUUCGGGCCUUGCGCUAUCAGAUGAGCCUAGGUCGGAUUAGCUAGUUGGUGGGGUAAUGGCUCACCAAGGCGACGAUCCGUAACUGGUCUGAGAGGAUGAUCAGUCACACUGGAACUGAGACACGGUCCAGACUCCUACGGGAGGCAGCAGUGGGGAAUAUUGGACAAUGGGCGAAAGCCUGAUCCAGCCAUGCCGCGUGUGUGAAGAAGGUCUUCGGAUUGUAAAGCACUUUAAGUUGGGAGGAAGGGCAGUAAAUUAAUACUUUGCUGUUUUGACGUUACCGACAGAAUAAGCACCGGCUAACUCUGUGCCAGCAGCCGCGGUAAUACAGAGGGUGCAAGCGUUAAUCGGAAUUACUGGGCGUAAAGCGCGCGUAGGUGGUUAGUUAAGUUGGAUGUGAAAUCCCCGGGCUCAACCUGGGAACUGCAUUCAAAACUGACUGACUAGAGUAUGGUAGAGGGUGGUGGAAUUUCCUGUGUAGCGGUGAAAUGCGUAGAUAUAGGAAGGAACACCAGUGGCGAAGGCGACCACCUGGACUGAUACUGACACUGAGGUGCGAAAGCGUGGGGAGCAAACA